CCAACAGGAAGGAAGUUAGCACACGAAAGCUGUAUGGCUAGCAAACACAAAGGAGCGUUGGAGGUAGAAGGCAAUCAGCGCACAGAAGCAGGAGCUCUUGGAAGGACUGUGAAAUCCUGAUCUAGCAUACAGUUUUCACAUUCUAUUAUCAAUAAGAUAUUGACCUGAAUCUUGUUGGAGCAUCGAGUUACCGAUGGCAGGACCGGAUGUGCGCAGGACUUCUACAGUAGGUUGGAUGGCUGGCCAGGCGCAAUCACGCGGCGGCCAGCCAAUUGGAUAUUCAUAGACAAGGUACCUGGCCAAUCAUGCAGCAGGACAGGCAGGAAGUUGACAACCCCACCUCGCAGCAUUGAAUGUGUGGGUACCAUAUUUAAAGACAUUCAUUCCCUGCAGUCCAGCACCAUCAGUCUGGUUGUGUGAGUGGAUGCCUUGAGACAAAAGCUGCUACUAGAAUCUUCUGAUCAUCACCCCCAACGCCGAAUAACCUCAGCUGCUGCUACCACCUGCUCAUCUUCCCCCACUCUCAUAUGCUAUUCUAGAUAUCUCAGAGCAAACAACGAAUGGCCGCAAGGUUUAGUGAUGCCUCCUUGCAGGCUCUCCUCCAGUCCGUCCAGGAAUGAUGGGAAGUCAUGUUUCCUAGUAAUGGCAGCAAGCGGCCCUCUCUCCUGAUCUGAGAAUUUUUGACCAAAGGGGAGACCUAUACUUAGCAUCAGCCACACUCCGGUCUCCUCUCACCCCACUGUGGACAUCUUCAUCCUCGACCUGUUCUCUAGAGACCUCUUCAUGUUGUUGCAGCUAUGUCCCUGGACACUCCCACAUUGACCCUAGAACUUGAAACCAUCACCCUGCACCCUCCCUCAUCACCUUUGACCUACUCUCCAUCAGCCAUGGCCCUCACUCCAUCAGCCUUGACUCGCCCCCUUAGGACCUUAGCAUUGACCUUCACUCUCUAACCUUAAUCAUGCUUCACCUCCGAUCUGUAGGCAUUGACCUCUGUCCCCCAUGAACCCUUGUCAGUCCACCACAACCCUCAGUCAGCCAUGCCCUGAUCUUCCUUGCACAGCCACCACUCAAUCUCAAUGCAUCAAUGCCUCCUUUCCUGUGGCCCAAUUGCCCCCCAUGAAAGAAAAGCAGCUCCUAUUCAGUCCGAAUUGACCAGGAAGACUACCUCGCACGCUACCUUUAGCCAAUUGUGAAUCUAAAGGCAUGUGUUUCUCGUUCGCUGCAGGGUUAAUUGCAAAGGUACCGUUAAUCUGGCAAAAUGGUGUUUUAAUGAGUGUGCAUGACAUGCUAAUGCAUUAUUAGGCUCCCACCAAGUGCUGUUGGAAAGCUCGAUCUGCCUUCAAUCUGCUGCAACUUUAAUUCGCUACUUUUAUCCCACCGUCAGGAAGCUGACAUUCCACCUCCCGCAUAACUAAAUGUGCCCGCCCGCCUUGUUUCCCACUGCUGGCAGCAGCACAAGAUUCCAGCCAUUGAUUGCAGCUUUUGGAACAAAUAGCUGAAGGCUGAACAGCAGAUGUUUAAGAAAUAGAAAGUUCAAUAAUAAAAACGAGGCAAUGACAUUGCCCAGUUAUAAGUACAUACUUUACUGUUCAUUUUUGGUUACAAGACAGCAAGUUAUUUUUGAACAUAGCCUUGUCAAAAUUUAUCAUUAGUCACCAAAAAUUU
Molecule: long non-coding RNA, 1668 nt
Organism: Carcharodon carcharias (great white shark)
Lineage: Eukaryota; Metazoa; Chordata; Chondrichthyes; Lamniformes; Lamnidae
Exons: 3
Source: RefSeq, a predicted model, not a curated record